GAUGAACGCUAGCGGCAGGCCUAACACAUGCAAGUCGGAGGGGUAACAGAGAAUAGCUUGCUAUUUUGCUGACGACCGGCGCACGGGUGCGUAACGCGUAUACAAUCUACCUCUUACUGAAGGAUAGCCCAGAGAAAUUUGGAUUAAUACUUCAUGGCAUCUAUUUAUGGCAUCAUAAAAAGAUUAAAGAUUACGGUAGGAGAUGAGUAUGCGUUCUAUUAGCUAGAUGGUGUGGUAACGGCACACCAUGGCAACGAUAGAUAGGGGCCCUGAGAGGGGGAUCCCCCACACUGGUACUGAGACACGGACCAG
RNAcentral lists this ribosomal RNA (312 nucleotides) under uncultured bacterium. RNAcentral's name for it is "bacterial SSU rRNA". It matches the Rfam family "Bacterial small subunit ribosomal RNA", at positions 28 to 334 of the family's 1533-position model. The record is from RNAcentral.